CUUAGUACGAGAGGACCGGGAUGGACGUACCUCUGGUGUACCAGUUGUCCUGCCAAGGGCAUGGCUGGGUAGCUAUGUACGGAAUGGAUAAGCGCUGAAAGCAUCUAAGCGCGAAGCCAACUUCAAGCUAAGAUUUCCCACCGCAAGGGUAAGACCCCAGAAAGACUAUCUGGUUGAUAGGUCGAAGGUGUAAGUGCAGCAAUGUAUUUAGCUUAUCGAUACUAAUAGGUCGAGGACUUGACCAAU
This 246-nucleotide ribosomal RNA is filed under the name Clostridioides difficile. Its description in RNAcentral is "partial 23S ribosomal RNA". It matches the Rfam family "Bacterial large subunit ribosomal RNA", at positions 2677 to 2925 of the family's 2925-position model. Lineage: Bacteria; Bacillati; Bacillota; Clostridia; Peptostreptococcales; Peptostreptococcaceae. The record is from RNAcentral.